RNAcentral lists this ribosomal RNA (460 nucleotides) under uncultured bacterium. RNAcentral's name for it is "partial 16S ribosomal RNA". It matches the Rfam family "Bacterial small subunit ribosomal RNA", at positions 338 to 795 of the family's 1533-position model. The record is from RNAcentral.
CCUACGGGGGGCAGCAGUGAGGAAUAUUGGUCAAUGGGCGCGAGCCUGAACCAGCCAAGCAGCGUGAAGGAAGACUGCUCUACGGGUUGUAACCUUCUUUUAUACAGGAGUAAAGUGAGCCACGCGUGUCUGUUUGUAUGUACUUUACGAAUAAGGAUCGGCUAACUCCGUGCCAGCAGCCGCGGUAAUACGGAGGAUUCCAGCGUUAUCCGGAUUUAUUGGGUUUAAAGGGAGCGUAGGUGGGCUGUUAAGUCAGAUGUGAAAGUUCGCGGCUCAACGGUAGAAUUGCAAUUGAUACUGGUGGCCUUGAGUACAGUUGAGGUAGGCGGAAUUCGUGGUGUAGCGGUGAAAUGCUUAGAUAUCACGAAGAACACCGAUUGCGAAGGCAGCCUACUAAACUACAACUGACGGUGAGGCUCGAAAGUGUGGGGAGCAAACAGGAUUAGAUACCCCAGUAGUC